CAUCAUUUAUUUGCUGAAACAAACCUCCCAACCUGCCAUAACUUUGACUAAAAGAAUUUCAUUUUUCUUUGGGUUUGGGUAAUUUGACCUACAUGGGAGGAGAUGAAAAGGGGUACCUAAACCUGAUGGAUUCCAGAAAACUUUUAGAACCCUCAGAAUAUCCUAUAAGAAUGAAUUAGCCAUAGGUUUUCCUGAAACCACACCUGAUCUCACAAGUCCUGGAGAUAAUGAGAAUUAAAAUUGGUCAUGUGAAGGUAGUGAUUCCUUAGUUGCCUAAUGUUUAGAAUUUGUGAAUGCCCAUUGUCAUGACCUGAGUUCAAUUCCUGGUCAAGAAAAAUCUCUGAGAACCAACAGCAUACAGUAAAAGAUGAGGAAGUGGAUGCUCAGAGAGAUUACUUCUAAGAUCACAUAGUUUACAAGUAUCAGAGAAACCCAGUUUUCCUGAUUCCAAGGCCAAUCCUGUAUCUGCUCUGCCAGGCUAUUCCUUACCACUGAUGAAGAAUAACUACUCUUUUGCUAAGCUGGAAAGCCAUGAAAAGAGUAGGGAUAAGAAUAGCCACUCCUCUUGCAAACUUUGCAAAACAAUCAAUUAACUGGUAUUUCUUAAGGUCUACUGAAUAUUCCCAAACCCCUUUGCCCGACCAUUUUUUCCUAGUAUCAGCAAAAAAUGAAGCAAACUAAAAUAUACCCACACGGUCUUCUCUUGUGUACACAUGUGUAUCCAUACAUAAAUAAUACUUUUCUUUUCUUAAAAACCCUUACCUUCUGUCUUAGAAUCAAAACUGUAUAUUAGUUACAAGGCAGAAAAUAAGUGAAGUGUAGGCAAUAACAGUUAAGUGACUUGCCCAGGGUCACACAGCUGGGAAGUGUCUGAGGCUGGAUUAUGAACCCAGGUCCUCCCAUCUCUAAGCUUGGCUCUCAAUCUACUGAGCUACCCAGCUGCCCCAAUACAAUACUUUUCAAUUGUAGUUAUUAUCAAAAUCUAUAUAGGUUUAAACAAUUAAGUGCUUUAGUACUGGAUUUUAUAGAAAGUCUGAUCUGAUAGAAUCAAUAGAAUUUGAUAAAAAGUUUGAAAUGAAAUUGCAAAUAAAGUUCAAAUGUUUUUAUUAGAAUAAAAGCAUUUUCUACACUAAAGUCCUUUGGGAUCCUCAACAUAGCUUCACCUCCCAUUAAAAAUUAUGAGAUCCUGAUUUGUGAGAAAAGAAUUAAUAACAAGAAUUCAUCUGAAGCAAAAAUGAGAGAAUCUAAGUCCAGUAGCAGGAAAAAAGUCAGGAUGAUUGCUGAUGGCCCAGGAUCCAGUCAAAGACCUUGUGAUCAUGGAUGUCAACAACCCUUGUGGGGAUCACAAAUGUCAGUGCCAAAGUAAAGAAGCUGUCUCAGGGCAGAAUCAGAGAAGUGGAUGUUCAGCAAAUUUCUGAGAUAAUCAAUGACAUUAUGGGGCAACGUUUUGACUUGUGAAGAACUGAAUCUAAGAGAGGCAGAGUUGCACGGAGUCCUCAGCUUCAUUCUCUUCCAGAGUCUUCAAAGUCCAGUGGAAGGACAAGAGUCAGGAUGACUGGUGAUCUGGAAUGCAGUGGAUGACCUUGGUGUCUUCUAUAUCUGACCAAGUUCUAAAUCAUUCUACAGUAUCUGCUUCACCUACCUUCCUGGCCGCUGGAACAAAUUGUUAUCUGUCCAUUCUUCCAAGGGAAAGCUGUCAUAUGCUUGGAGUAAACAUCCCCCUAACUCACUGACAGGUUUUGCUUGUCUGUCAAGUUGGUUGGUGUGCACCUUAUACCCAUCAAAAUCUUACCAUAACACUUUCCUGGAAUGGGCAAUAUGAGUACAUGGUAUGGGAUGUUAUAGAUGAAACCAUGAAGAAACAAAUUCCUUUUGUUACCCAUAGUGCCAAAACUACUUGGAUGAGGCACGAGAUAAAUUCA
Long non-coding RNA from Monodelphis domestica (gray short-tailed opossum), 1922 nucleotides. RefSeq lists it as uncharacterized. The record is from RefSeq and is a predicted model, not a curated record. NCBI's taxonomy places the organism in Eukaryota, Metazoa, Chordata, Mammalia, Didelphimorphia, Didelphidae.